RNAcentral lists this ribosomal RNA (466 nucleotides) under Vreelandella stevensii. Its description in RNAcentral is "partial 16S ribosomal RNA". It matches the Rfam family "Bacterial small subunit ribosomal RNA", at positions 338 to 795 of the family's 1533-position model. The record is from RNAcentral. Lineage: Bacteria; Pseudomonadati; Pseudomonadota; Gammaproteobacteria; Oceanospirillales; Halomonadaceae.
CCUACGGGAGGCAGCAGUGGGGAAUAUUGGACAAUGGGCGAAAGCCUGAUCCAGCCAUGCCGCGUGUGUGAAGAAGGCCUUCGGGUUGUAAAGCACUUUCAGUGGGGAAGAAAGCCUUGGGGCUAAUACCCUCGAGGAAGGACAUCACCCACAGAAGAAGCACCGGCUAACUCCGUGCCAGCAGCCGCGGUAAUACGGAGGGUGCGAGCGUUAAUCGGAAUUACUGGGCGUAAAGCGCGCGUAGGCGGUCUGAUAAGCCGGUUGUGAAAGCCCCGGGCUCAACCUGGGAACGGCAUCCGGAACUGUCAGGCUAGAGUGCAGGAGAGGAAGGUAGGAUUCCCGGUGUAGCGGUGAAAUGCGUAGAGAUCGGGAGGAAUACCAGUGGCGAAGGCGGCCUUCUGGACUGACACUGACGCUGAGGUGCGAAAGCGUGGGUAGCAAACAGGAUUAGAUACCCGGGGUAGUC